Lolium perenne is the source of this 329-nucleotide non-coding RNA. The record is from RefSeq and is a predicted model, not a curated record. NCBI's taxonomy places the organism in Eukaryota, Viridiplantae, Streptophyta, Magnoliopsida, Poales, Poaceae.
CGCGGCAUCGCCCCGCGUCGAGCACCUCCUGUGCGUGCACGCUAGGUUUGGCAGCGUGGCAGCCACAUCAGCACCCGACCCCACCUGUCAGCCGCUGUGGCUAGCCGCUCCCACGGUACGAGAUGACGACGUUAGCAAGGUUACCCUUCCGGCUUGGCCUGGGCAGGGUUAUGGAUGCCAUCGCUUAUCUUCAGGACUCUUAGUCCAAUUUGUAUCUUGUCCGUACUCGGACUUAUUCGGUCUUCUGUAUGAUUUGGAUCUUUGUAUUGUGUAUUUGUAUCUUGACUCGUUGGAGUCGUUGUUGUAAUGUAUCUGUUUCUUGUGGGCUC